Molecule: ribosomal RNA, 458 nt
Filed under: uncultured bacterium
Lineage: Bacteria
Description: partial 16S ribosomal RNA
Rfam family: Bacterial small subunit ribosomal RNA
Source: RNAcentral
CCUACGGGAGGCAGCAGUGAGGAAUAUUGGUCAAUGGGCGAGAGCCUGAACCAGCCAAGUCGCGUGAGGGAGUACUGCCCUAUGGGUUGUAAACCUCUUUUGUCGGGGAGCAAAAGCCGGACGUGUCCGGCUGUGAGAGUACCCGAAGAAAAAGCAUCGGCUAACUCCGUUCCAGCAGCCGCGGUAAUACGGAGGAUGCGAGCGUUAUCCGGGUUUAUUGGGUUUAAAGGGUGCGCAGGCGGAUUUUUAAGUCAGCGGUAAAAUCGUGGGGCUCAACCCCAUCCAGCCGUUGAAACUGGGGAUCUAGAGUGUGCGAGAGGUAUGCGGAAUGCGUGGUGUAGCGGUGAAAUGCAUAGAUAUCACGCAGAACCCCGAUUGCGAAGGCAGCAUACCGGUGCACAACUGACGCUCAGGCACGAAAGCGUGGGUAUCGAACAGGAUUAGAUACCCCUGUAGUC